RNAcentral lists this ribosomal RNA (451 nucleotides) under HMWdDNA-degrading marine bacterium 12. RNAcentral describes it as "bacterial SSU rRNA". It matches the Rfam family "Bacterial small subunit ribosomal RNA", at positions 12 to 468 of the family's 1533-position model. RNAcentral also lists the same sequence under 1 other name. The record is from RNAcentral.
UUUGAUCCUGGCUCAGAUUGAACGCUGGCGGCAGGCCUAACACAUGCAAGUCGAGCGGUAACAUUUCUAGCUUGCUAGAAGAUGACGAGCGGCGGACGGGUGAGUAAUGCUUGGGAACAUGCCUUGAGGUGGGGGACAACAGUUGGAAACGACUGCUAAUACCGCAUAACGUCUACGGACCAAAGGGGGCUUCGGCUCUCGCCUUUAGAUUGGCCCAAGUGGGAUUAGCUAGUUGGUGAGGUAAUGGCUCACCAAGGCAACGAUCCCUAGCUGGUUUGAGAGGAUGAUCAGCCACACUGGAACUGAGACACGGUCCAGACUCCUACGGGAGGCAGCAGUGGGGAAUAUUGCACAAUGGGCGCAAGCCUGAUGCAGCCAUGCCGCGUGUGUGAAGAAGGCCUUCGGGUUGUAAAGCACUUUCAGUCAGGAGGAAAGGUUAGUAGUUAAUACC